AUUGAACGCUGGCGGCAUGCCUUACACAUGCAAGUCGAACGGCAGCACGGGUUCUUGCACCUGGUGGCGAGUGGCGAACGGGUGAGUAAUACAUCGGAACGUACCUUAUCGUGGGGGAUAACGCAGCGAAAGCUGUGCUAAUACCGCAUACGCCCUGAGGGGGAAAGCGGGGGAUCGCAAGACCUCGCGCGAUUAGAGCGGCCGAUGCCUGGUUAGCUUGUUGGUGGGGUAAAAGCCCACCAAGGCGACGAUCAGUAGCUGGUCCGAGAGGACGAUAGGCCACACUGGGACUGGGACACGGCCCAGACUCCUGCGGGAGGCAGCAGGGGGGAAUUUUGUACAAUGGGGGCAACCCUGAUCCAGCAAUGCCGCGUGAGGGAAGAAGGCCUUCGGGUUGUAAAGCUCUUUUGUCAGGGAAGAAACACCGGCUCUAACACAGUCCGGGAAUGACGGUACCUGAAGAAUAAGCACCGGCUAACUACGUGCCAGCCGCCGCCGUAA
RNAcentral lists this ribosomal RNA (501 nucleotides) under uncultured bacterium. RNAcentral's name for it is "partial 16S ribosomal RNA". It matches the Rfam family "Bacterial small subunit ribosomal RNA", at positions 29 to 523 of the family's 1533-position model. The record is from RNAcentral.